AGACCCGAAACCCGGUGAUCUAGCCAUGGGCAGGUUGAAGGUUGGGUAACACUAACUGGAGGACCGAACCGACUAAUGUUGAAAAAUUAGCGGAUGACCUGUGGCUGGGGGUGAAAGGCCAAUCAAACCGGGAGAUAGCUGGUUCUCCCCGAAAGCUAUUUAGGUAGCGCCUCGUGAAUUCAUCUCCGGGGGUAGAGCACUGUUUCGGCUAGGGGGCCAUCCCGGCUUACCAACCCGAUGCAAACUGCGAAUACCGGAGAAUGUUAUCACGGGAGACACACGGCGGGUGCUAACGUCCGUCGUGAAGAGGGAAACAACCCAGACCGCCAGCUAAGGUCCCAAAGUCAUGGUUAAGUGGGAAACGAUGUGGGAAGGCCCAGACAGCCAGGAUGUUGGCUUAGAAGCAGCCAUCAUUUAAAGAAAGCGUAAUAGCUCACUGGUCGAGUCGGCCUGCGCGGAAGAUGUAACGGGGCUAAACCAUGCACCGAAGCUGCGGCAGCGACACUCAGGUGUUGUUGGGUAGGGGAGCGUUCUGUAAGCCUGUGAAG
Molecule: ribosomal RNA, 548 nt
Filed under: Salmonella enterica subsp. enterica serovar Virchow
Lineage: Bacteria; Pseudomonadati; Pseudomonadota; Gammaproteobacteria; Enterobacterales; Enterobacteriaceae
Also listed under: 1 other name
Description: partial 23S ribosomal RNA
Rfam family: Bacterial large subunit ribosomal RNA
Source: RNAcentral